This 611-nucleotide ribosomal RNA is filed under the name Gammaproteobacteria bacterium. RNAcentral's name for it is "partial 23S ribosomal RNA". It matches the Rfam family "Bacterial large subunit ribosomal RNA", at positions 1 to 603 of the family's 2925-position model. Lineage: Bacteria; Pseudomonadati; Pseudomonadota; Gammaproteobacteria. RNAcentral also lists the same sequence under 1 other name. The record is from RNAcentral.
GAUAAGAUAUGUAGGGCAGAAGGUGGAUGCCUUGGCGACGGACGGCGAUGAAGGACGUAGUAAGCUGCGAUAAGCCUCGGGGAGCCGCUAAACAGGCUUUGAUCCGGGGAUUUCCGAAUGGGAAAACCUGGCCGAGCAAACCUUAGUCAUAUUAUUGUGAAUACAUAGCAAUAAUAGGCAAACGAGGGGAAGUGAAACAUCUCAGUACCCUCAGGAAAAGAAAUCAACCGAGAUUCCCUUAGUAGCGGCGAGCGAAAGGGGAUUAGCCCAAACCGAGAAGACUUGUCUUCUCGGGGUUGUGGGACCUUAACAUGGGACACUAAUGGGUAGUAGAACAGUCUGGAAAGUCUGACCACAGAGGGUGACAGUCCCGUAUACAAAACCUUGAAGUGCCUUAGAGGUAUCCCGAGUACCCCGGAACACGUGAAAGUUUGGGGGAAUCUGGGAGGACCACCUUCCAAGGCUAAAUACGUGCCGUCGACCGAUAGUGAACAAGUACCGUGAGGGAAAGGUGAAAAGAACCCCGAUGAGGGGAGUGAAAUAGAAUCUGAAACCAUCUGCCCGUAACCAGUGGAAGGGCUAUGUCCUUUAUGGAAAUGCCUGACCGCGUG